CAGAAGGGAGCUUGCUCCCGGAUGUUAGCGGCGGACGGGUGAGUAACACGUGGGUAACCUGCCUGUAAGACUGGGAUAACUCCGGGAAACCGGAGCUAAUACCGGAUAGUUCCUUGAACCGCAUGGUUCAAGGAUGAAAGACGGUUUCGGCUGUCACUUACAGAUGGACCCGCGGCGCAUUAGCUAGUUGGUGAGGUAACGGCUCACCAAGGCGACGAUGCGUAGCCGACCUGAGAGGGUGAUCGGCCACACUGGGACUGAGACACGGCCCAGACUCCUACGGGAGGCAGCAGUAGGGAAUCUUCCGCAAUGGACGAAAGUCUGACGGAGCAACGCCGCGUGAGUGAUGAAGGUUUUCGGAUCGUAAAGCUCUGUUGUUAGGGAAGAACAAGUGCAAGAGUAACUGCUUGCACCAUGACGGUACCUAACCAGAAAGCCACGGCUAACUACGUGCCAGCAGCCGCGGUAAUACGUAGGUGGCAAGCGUUGUCCGGAAUUAUUGGGCGUAAAGGGCUCGCAGGCGGUUUCUUAAGUCUGAUGUGAAAGCCCCCGGCUCAACCGGGGAGGGUCAUUGGAAACUGGGAAACUUGAGUGCAGAAGAGGAGAGUGGAAUUCCACGUGUAGCGGUGAAAUGCGUAGAGAUGUGGAGGAACACCAGUGGCGAAGGCGACUCUCUGGUCUGUAACUGACGCUGAGGAGCGAAAGCGUGGGGAGCGAACAGGAUUAGAUACCCUGGUAGUCCACGCCGUAAACGAUGAGUGCUAAGUGUUAGGGGGUUUCCGCCYCUUAGUGCUG
RNAcentral lists this ribosomal RNA (795 nucleotides) under Bacillus xiamenensis. RNAcentral describes it as "bacterial SSU rRNA". It matches the Rfam family "Bacterial small subunit ribosomal RNA", at positions 69 to 848 of the family's 1533-position model. The record is from RNAcentral. Lineage: Bacteria; Bacillati; Bacillota; Bacilli; Caryophanales; Bacillaceae.